UAGAAACAGAAGAGGUGUGGUCAAGCCCAGGACAUGCCUGGGAAAGGAAAUAGUCAAGCUAGAGGGUCCAUUUGGGUUUAUGACUUGGAAGCAAAAUCAGCUGGCUUCAGUUCCAUAAGAUGAAUGCAGUUGGGAAAGCUGGGGUUAAAAAUCUCAUGGCAAAUUCUCAUUUCCACUAGCAGAAGAAAAGAAGAUGGAUAUAGCACAAAUCACUAUGUACAAUUUAUGGAAGAGCGUAAAGGUACAAGUAUGCAUCAACAAGGGAGCCUGAGUGGGAUUGCUGGCAUUCUCCUCCCUACCUCCAAGGCAAAGAAGAUUCCAGAGCUCCUCUGAAGGUCCCCCAGAGGUCUGCCUUCUCUGGUUGUUAUGGGAACUGUUUCUCACAAAAGAAACCCAGAAGUUGACAGUUUCUAAAUUCAAAGAAAGAAAUGAAUCCUGUUUGCCAGCCAGGUAUAGAAAUUUGCUUACUGCCUUUCUUGCAGUUGGGAGA
Symphalangus syndactylus (siamang) is the source of this 490-nucleotide long non-coding RNA. RefSeq lists it as uncharacterized. The record is from RefSeq and is a predicted model, not a curated record. Lineage: Eukaryota; Metazoa; Chordata; Mammalia; Primates; Hylobatidae.